This 23-nucleotide ribosomal RNA is filed under the name Zaptychopsis buschii. Its description in RNAcentral is "partial 5.8S rRNA". Lineage: Eukaryota; Metazoa; Mollusca; Gastropoda; Stylommatophora; Clausiliidae. The record is from RNAcentral.
AAAAGAGCAGAGAAGGAAAAUAG